GACGAACGCUGGCGGCGUGCUUAACACAUGCAAGUCGAGCGGAAAGGCCCUUUUGGGGGUACUCGAGCGGCGAACGGGUGAGUAACACGUGAGUAAUCUGCCCUGCACUUCGGGAUAGCUUCGGGAAACCGAGAUUAAUACCGGAUAGGACCUGGCUCCGCAUGGGGUUGGGUGGAAGGCUUUGGUGGUGUGGGAUGUGCUCGCGGCCUAUCAGCUUGAUGGUGGGGUAGUGGCCUACCAUGGCUUUGACGGGUAGCCGGCCUGAGAGGGUGACCGGCCACACUGGGACCGAGACACGGCCCAGACUCCUACGGGAGGCAGCAGUGGGGAAUAUUGGACAAUGGGCGGAAGCCUGAUCCAGCAACGCCGCGUGAGGGAUGACGGCCUUCGGGUUGUAAACCUCUUUCAGCACAGACGAAGCUCUUUGGGGUGACGGUAUGUGCAGAAGAAGCACCGGCCAACUACGUGCCAGCCGCCGCCGUAA
RNAcentral lists this ribosomal RNA (484 nucleotides) under uncultured bacterium. RNAcentral's name for it is "partial 16S ribosomal RNA". It matches the Rfam family "Bacterial small subunit ribosomal RNA", at positions 28 to 523 of the family's 1533-position model. The record is from RNAcentral.